GAUGAAGAACGCAGCGAAAUGCGAUAAGUAAUGUGAAUUGCAGAAUUCAGUGAAUCAUCGAAUCUUUGAACGCACCUUGCGCUCCUUGGUAUUCCGAGGAGCAUGCCUGUUUGAGUGUCAUGAAACCCUCAAACCCAAGUUUUGGAUUUCGAUCCAUGCUUGAGUUUGGAUUUGGAUGUUUGCCGGUGAUGAACCGACUCAUCUUACAAGUAUUAGCUUGGAUCUGUCUAUAUGACUGGUUUGACUUGGCAUAAUAAGUAUUUUGCUGAGGACAUCUUCGGAUGGCCAGGACCUAGACUACUGUCUGCUAACUAAACCAUCACUUUAAGUGCAUCUUUGGAUGUUACUCAUUGUGUAACUUUGACAUCUGGCCUCAAAUCAAGUAGGACUACCCGCUGAACUUAAGCAUAUCAAUAAGCGGAGGA
RNAcentral lists this unclassified non-coding RNA (425 nucleotides) under soil metagenome. Its description in RNAcentral is "partial contains 5.8S ribosomal RNA, internal transcribed spacer 2, and large subunit ribosomal RNA". The stretch from base 1 to 120 matches the Rfam family "5.8S ribosomal RNA", at positions 35 to 154 of the family's 154-position model. The record is from RNAcentral.